AUUGAACGCUGGCGGCAUGCUUUACACAUGCAAGUCGAACGGCAGCGCGGGCUUCGGCCUGGCGGCGAGUGGCGAACGGGUGAGUAAUACAUCGGAACGUGCCCAGUGUGGGGGAUAGCUCGGCGAAAGCCGGAUUAAUACCGCAUACGACCUGAGGGUGAAAGCGGGGGAUCUUCGGACCUCGCGCUAUUGGAGCGGCCGAUGGCAGAUUAGCUAGUUGGUGGGGUAAAGGCCUACCAAGGCGACGAUCUGUAGCUGAUCUGAGAGGACGACCAGCCACACUGGGACUGAGACACGGCCCAGACUCCUACGGGAGGCAGCAGUGGGGAAUUUUGGACAAUGGGCGAAAGCCUGAUCCAGCAAUGCCGCGUGUGUGAUGAAGGCCUUCGGGUUGUAAAGCACUUUUGGCGGGAACGAAAAGGACUGUGCCAAUACCACGGUUCGAUGACGGUACCCGCAGAAUAAGCACCGGCUAACUACGU
Molecule: ribosomal RNA, 482 nt
Filed under: uncultured bacterium
Lineage: Bacteria
Description: partial 16S ribosomal RNA
Rfam family: Bacterial small subunit ribosomal RNA
Source: RNAcentral